RNAcentral lists this ribosomal RNA (571 nucleotides) under uncultured organism. Its description in RNAcentral is "bacterial SSU rRNA". It matches the Rfam family "Bacterial small subunit ribosomal RNA", at positions 595 to 1171 of the family's 1533-position model. The record is from RNAcentral.
UGAAAUACCGCAGCUUAACUGCGGGGACGCGCUGGAAACUGUAAGACUAGAGUACAGGAGGGGGACCUGGAAUUCCUGGUGUAGGGGUGAAAUCUGUAGAUAUCAGGAAGAACACCGGUGGCGAAGGCGAGGUCCUGGCCAUGUACUGACGCUGAGGCGCGAAAGCGUGGGGAGCGAACAGGAUUAGAUACCCUGGUAGUCCACGCCGUAAACGAUGUGCACUAGGUGCUUGGGGGUAGCCUUGAGUGCCGUAGCUAACGCGUUAGGUGCACCGCCUGGGGAGUAUGCUCGCAAGGGUGAAACUCAAAGGAAUUGACGGGGGCCCGCACAAGCGGUGGAGCAUGUGGUUUAAUUCGAUGAUACGCGAGGAACCUUACCAGGGCUUGACAUAUACUCGACGGUUGUAGAGAUACAGCUUCCCUUCGGGGCGAGUAUACAGGUGCUGCAUGGCUGUCGUCAGCUCGUGCUGUGAAGUGUUGGGUUAACUCCCGCAACGAGGGCAACCCAUGUUACUUGUUGCCAGCAUUCAGUUGGGGAGUCAGGUGGAACAUCCGGUGUCAAACCGGAGGAA